CUGGAGUGGGAAACCAGCACCAGCUGACCGCAGAGAGCCGGGCUGAUCAUGGAGAGGGCCGGCCCCGACUCCGCGCGGCCGCAACAGCAAUGGGACCAGGACUCGGUCGAAGCGUGGCUGGACGAUCACUGGAACUUUACCUUCUCUUACUUUGUUAGGAAAGGCACCAGAGAAAUGGUCAAUGCAUGGUUUGCUGAGAGAGUACACACCAUCCCUGUGUGCAAGGAAGGAGUCAGAGGCCACGCGGAAUCCUGCUCUUGUCCCUUGCAGCCAAGUACCCGUGCAGAGAGCAGUGUCCCUGGAACACCAACCAGGAAGAUCUCUGCCUCCGAAUUCGAUCGGCCACUUAGACCCAUUGUUAUCAAGGAUUCUGAGGGGACUGUGAGCUUCCUCUCUGACUCAGACAAGAAGGAACAGAUGCCUCUAACCUCCCCCCGGUUUGAUAAUGAUGAAGGGGACCAGUGCUCGAGACUCUUGGAAUUAGUGAAAGAUAUUUCUAGUCACUUGGAUGUCACAGCCUUAUGUCACAAAAUUUUCUUGCAUAUCCAUGGACUCAUCUCCGCCGACCGCUACUCCUUAUUCCUCGUCUGUGAGGACAGCUCCAACGACAAGUUUCUUAUCAGCCGCCUCUUUGAUGUUGCAGAAGGUUCAACACUGGAAGAAGCUUCAAAUAACUGUAUCCGCUUAGAGUGGAACAAAGGCAUCGUGGGACACGUGGCCGCUCUUGGCGAGCCCUUGAACAUCAAGGACGCCUAUGAGUGGUAAAGAAUCCACCUGCCAAUGCAGGAGCCAUGAGUUGGAUUCUUGAUGCAGGAAGAUCGGGCAUGCCAUAGAGUAGCUAAGCCCAUAGGCCACAACUCUUCAGCCUGUGUUCAAGGGCUUGGAAGCCCCAACUACUGAGCCACAUGCCGCCACUUCCGAAGCCCAAGUACCCUAGAGCCUGUGCUCUGCAACCAGAGAGGCCGCCACAAAGAGAAGCCUGCACACCCAACCGGAGACGAGCCCAUGCGGCGACCAAGAUCCAGCACAGCCCAAAGUAAAGACUCCUGCUUACAACAGUGACUUAACCCCAUACAUGUGCUGGUAUUCGUGUGAAAGGAUUUCCCAGGCAAGAACACUGGAAUGGGCCGCCAUUGCCUUCUCCAGGGAUCUUCCCGACCCAGGGAUCGAACCUGGGCCUUCUGCAUUGCAGGCAGAUGCUUCACCAUCUGAGCCACCAGGGAAGCCGACAACUCUGUAAUCUGUACUUUACACCAGCUAUGCUAAUGCUGCUAAACAUGACUCUAUAUUCCCAAGUCCAAAACCUUCAGUGGCUCUCUAAAGUCUUGGAAAAGGACAAGUUUUCCAGCCUGUUACAAAAGGAAAAAGAAAGAAGACCCAGAUGUGAUCUGAUUACAUGAGAACUGUGUCCCAGGACUGCCCUGGCAGAAGCCAGCAAGGAGAACAGUAACUCAGAUUUCUACACAAGAAUGCAAGUUGACUAUCCUAGCUACAUCCAUUCCACGUCUGCCUUAGAGAGGGGGACAGGGAAGGACCACGACCAUCCCCAACUCCAGGUGAUAUAUCCUAUAACCAACUGGGUUUCUGCAUAUACUAUCUAAACCAACUAUUUCCACAGUGGGAUUGUACAAACCGAUUCACUGGGGUACAGGGAGAAAUGUAGAAUUCCCACUUAAGUUGAAAAUAAACUAAGCUGUACUAAAACGUAACAAAUGGAUCAACUCCAACACCCUCACAAUCUGCACAUCAGAAAGUCACAGAUCAUGACUUGUGUCCUAAAGAAAUGAAAGUCAACAGUUGCAAAUCUACUGGUGCUUUCUCUGUGCAGCUAACAACAGAUACUGUGCCCUCUAACAAGAAUUCCAGAAAAAUUAACAUUUAUUUCUUUCAAAGAAAAAGUGACUUAAAAUGAGGAUUUUUUUUUUUCCAGAAGACACUUGUGUGGCUGAAAGAGCAUGUCUGUGUCAAUUAUUUUUUUAAAAGUUUCAUCUGCACAUUAAAAAACUUGGAAACAAAUUUUUCUAAUCUAUUUAUAAUAUUUCUAAAUUACAAUCUAUUUCCAAAGGCAAUUAAGACGAAAGCAAUUAGUUCCAAACUAAUAGAAAGGUACUAAGUUCUCAUAGUUUAAAGA
This is an RNA transcript of Cervus elaphus (red deer), 2131 nucleotides long. It is a transcript of the gene named cGMP-specific 3',5'-cyclic phosphodiesterase-like, with no coding region annotated. Lineage: Eukaryota; Metazoa; Chordata; Mammalia; Artiodactyla; Cervidae. The transcript is spliced from 5 exons. The record is from RefSeq and is a predicted model, not a curated record.